This 945-nucleotide ribosomal RNA is filed under the name Triticum aestivum (bread wheat). RNAcentral describes it as "partial small subunit ribosomal RNA". Lineage: Eukaryota; Viridiplantae; Streptophyta; Magnoliopsida; Poales; Poaceae. The record is from RNAcentral.
AUGGUGCCCCUACGCGUCUGCCACCGCCUCGUCCACCUGCGCGGCCUCCCCUCCUCGCUUCGGCUUCCUCUCCCCUCCACCAUGGCGGCGCCCCAACCCGGCUGCAAACCCCCUCGCCCCACCACCACUUCUUCGCCGUCUCCUGCCGGCCCGGCCACCAAGAGGUCCAGGACAAUGGCCACCGACGCGGCGACUUCUCCGGCCUCGGCGGGGUGCUCCGCGAUGAAGGCCGAGUUCACGGGCCACGCUGAGUACCUCAACGCGCUGAAUGAUAAAAGGGAAAGGCUUGUGAAAGCAAGUCGGGAUGUGACAAUGAACAGCAAAAAGGUCAUCUUUCAGGUCCACAGGAUCAGCAAAAAUAACAAGGAGGAAGUUCUUUCAAAGGCGGAAAAUGACCUUGCUGCUGUGGUUAACCAAUACAUUGGAAAGUUAGUAAAAGAACUACAAGGAACCGACUUCUGGAAGCUCAGAAGAGCCUAUACCCCUGGUGUACAAGAAUAUAUUGAAGCUGCAACAUUUUGUAGAUUUUGCAAGACUGGCACUUUAUUGGGUCUAGCUGAAAUUAAUGAUUCUUUGCUUGCUCUAAGUGAUAAAUCCAUUGAGCCCUUGCAGAUAAAUGUGCUUGACUAUCUUUUAGGGGUUGCUGAUUUGUCAGGAGAGCUAAUGAGGCUUGCAAUUGGACGUAUAUCUGAUGGGGAAGUUGAAUAUGCUAAAAAUAUAUGUGCAUUUGUACGUGACAUUUAUAGGGAGCUGACCCUUCUUGUGCCACUGAUGGAUGACAAUAAUGAGAUGAAGAAGAAAAUGGAGGUUAUGCUUCAAAGCGUAGUGAAAAUUGAGAAUGCUUGCUUCAGUGUUCAUGUGAGAGGAUCUGAAUACAUCGCUAUGCUGGGAUCAUCUGGCGAGUCAGACUAUGCCUUCUUCGGUGCCGCCGACUAUGACCAAUGA